CAGACGAGAUGACCCGCUGAAUUUAA
This 26-nucleotide ribosomal RNA is filed under the name Enoplognatha bryjai. RNAcentral's name for it is "partial 28S ribosomal RNA". Lineage: Eukaryota; Metazoa; Arthropoda; Arachnida; Araneae; Theridiidae. The record is from RNAcentral.